RNAcentral lists this ribosomal RNA (937 nucleotides) under Dinomyces sp. P242. Its description in RNAcentral is "eukaryotic LSU rRNA". It matches the Rfam family "Eukaryotic large subunit ribosomal RNA", at positions 72 to 943 of the family's 3401-position model. The record is from RNAcentral. Lineage: Eukaryota; Fungi; Chytridiomycota; Chytridiomycetes; Rhizophydiales; Dinomycetaceae.
GGAUUCCCCUAGUAACGGCGAGUGAAGCGGGAACAGCUCAAAUUUGAAAUCUUACUGUUUCGCAGUACGAAUUGUAGUUUAGAGAAACAUUUUCAAGGCAGACUUUUAGUACAAGUUCUUUGGAACGAGACAUCAUAGAGGGUGAAAAUCCCGUAUAUGACUAAUUGUUCUGUCUUAUAUGAUAUGUUUUCCAAGAGUCGGUUUGUUUGGGAAUGCAGACCAAAAUGGGUGGUAAAUAUCAUCUAAAGCUAAAUAUUGGCGAGAGACCGAUAGCGAACAAGUACCGUGAGGGAAAGAUGAAAAGAACUUUGAAAAGAGAGUUAAAUAGUACGUGAAAUUGUCUAAAGGGAAACGCUUGAAACCAGUAUUGUGAGCAAGAAUUCAGCUAUGGUUUACUAUGGUUUAUUUUCUUGUUUACGAGUCAGCAUCAAUUUUGACUGUGGUAAAAAGCUUUGAGAAGGUAGUCUUCGGAUGUUUAUAGCUCAAAGUCAUGCCAUGGUUGGGAUUGAGGUCUGCAGUGUAAUUUAGGGAUCCAGUCGCCUCUUGAAGUAACGGCGUAAACUGCAUGCAGAUUGCGUUGAUUAUAAUGGAGCUCGGUUGGGGUACCAUACCACCACUUAGGAUGCUGACGAAAUGGUUUUAAGCGACCCGUCUUGAAACACGGACCAAGGAGUCUAACAUAUAUGCGAGUAUUUGGGUGGAAAACUCUUAUGCGUAGUGAAAGCGAAAAGGUGGGAUGCGUAAGCUGCACCAUCGGCCGCGCCAGAUUAUUGCUAUCUCGGCGUGAGUAUGAGCAUACAUGCUAGGACCCGAAAGAUGGUGAACUAUGCCUGAAUAGGGUGAAGCCAGAGGAAACUCUGGUGGAGGCUCGUAGCGGUUCUGACGUGCAAAUCGAUCGUCAAAUUUGGGUAUAGGGGCGAAAGACUAAUCGAACCAU